This 256-nucleotide ribosomal RNA is filed under the name uncultured bacterium. Its description in RNAcentral is "partial 16S ribosomal RNA". It matches the Rfam family "Bacterial small subunit ribosomal RNA", at positions 334 to 606 of the family's 1533-position model. The record is from RNAcentral.
UGAUCCUACGGGGGGCAGCAGUGGGGAAUAUUGCACAAUGGGGGAAACCCUGAUGCAGCGACGCCGCGUGAGUGAAGAAGUAUUUCGGUAUGUAAAGCUCUAUCAGCAGGGAAGAAGAAGGACGGUACCUGAGUAAGAAGCCCCGGCUAACUACGUGCCAGCAGCCGCGGUAAUACGUAGGGGGCAAGCGUUAUCCGGAUUUACUGGGCGUAAAGGGUGCGUAGACGGCGAAGAAAGUCUGAAGUGAAAGCCCGCG